GUGCUCGCUUCAGCAGCACAUAUACUAAAAUUGGAACGAUACAGAGAAGAUUAGUAUGGCUCUUGCACAAGGAUGACACACAAAGUAAUGAAGCGUUCCAAAAAAAA
RNAcentral lists this small nuclear RNA (107 nucleotides) under Carlito syrichta (Philippine tarsier). Lineage: Eukaryota; Metazoa; Chordata; Mammalia; Primates; Tarsiidae. The record is from RNAcentral.